ACAUGGAGCGAGAAGUCAGCGCUCUCAGGAGGCCGACAGACCUCACAGAAGAAAGAGAGAGAAAACAUACACCUGUGACGAGUGUGGGAAGGAUUUUACUGGGAAGGCUGAACUAAAACGUCAUCAGGUCAUCCACACUGGAGAGAGACCGUUCAGCUGUGACAUUUGUGGAAAAACCUUCAACCGGAUAGGGAACCGAAAUAGACACCUACGCAUUCACACCGGACAUGUGUACUGCUGUGAUCAGUGUGGCAAACAGUUUAUAACCAACACGCAGUUACAACGCCACGUUUACCCACACUGAGGAGAGACCUCAUAAAUGUGACCUGUGUGAGAAGACUUUUAAAUCUCCACAUCACCUGAGACGACACCAACAGAUCCACACCAGAAAGAGACUCUACAAGUGCAGUUACUGUGAGAAGCAGAGCGACACAGAUGGAUCCAGUUCUCAACCCUGUCAUCACUGUGGUGGUGGGAAAGAGUUUCAGUUGGCAAGCUGACCUAAAAAAAAUAUCAACAUAAACACACUGGACACAAACUGAACUACUGCAAAGAAUGUGGGAGAAGCUUCACCACAUCAAGUAGAUUAAAACGACAUGAGCUCAUUCACAGUGGGACCAAAAAGCACCUCUGUGAUCAGUGUGGGUCAUCUUUCAUUACUGCAAGUGGGCUUAAAACACACAAACGAGUCCACACAGGAGAGAAACCAUACAAGUGCAGAAACUGUGACAAAAGCUUCUCAAAAUCAACUAAUCGUAGCCGUCAUGAACGUACACACAUGGAAGGAAACUACAGCUGUGACAAGAGCUUCAGGAAUCUCAGUUCAUACUCCAAUCACAAAGGGUCAGACUUAAAUCCCUUGAGAUCAGGCUCCACAGAGUUCAGAUUGAAUCUCCUGUAAAGAUCUGAUGAGGCAACAUCUUAUAUCCAGGUAGGACAAAACAUUCACUCAUCUUUAAAGAUUAUAACAAAUCUGAGAUCUCGUUGAUCAGAACCAAUUAUUUAAAAUUCCCUCCAAAUUUAAAGAAGUCCAUUUUAAAACUACAAAAAAUAUUUACCCCUCCAAUGAAUUUAUGAGAGACAGGUUUAAAUUUGUGUUAGACAACUGUUAUAUUUGUAAAACAACUUCGGAAACAACAGAGCACAUGUUUUAUGGAUGUGUGACAGUCCAGAACUUAUGGAAAUCCCUCCAUGUCCUAAUAUUGUCCCAGUAUGGAAAUAUUGAUUUUUGGUCUUUUCAAAAUAUUCAAAUUGGAGUAAUCCUUAAGGACAAAAAUACUGAGUUUUUAGUUAACAAAGUAUUACAUUCGUA
Long non-coding RNA from Oreochromis niloticus (Nile tilapia), 1312 nucleotides. RefSeq lists it as uncharacterized. The record is from RefSeq and is a predicted model, not a curated record. NCBI's taxonomy places the organism in Eukaryota, Metazoa, Chordata, Actinopteri, Cichliformes, Cichlidae. The transcript is spliced from 3 exons.